UACGGGGGGAGCAAGCGUUGUUCGGAUUUACUGGGCGUAAAGGGCGUGCAGGCGGUUUGUUAAGUGCAGGGUGAAAGCUCCCGGCUCAACUGGGAGAGGUCCUUGCAUACUGGCAAACUCGAGGGAGGCAGAGGAAAGUGGAAUUCCCGGUGUAGUGGUGAUAUGCGUAGAUAUCGGGAGGAACACCUGUGGCGAAGGCGGCUUUCUGGGCCUUACCUGACGCUGAGACGCGAAAGCGUGGGGAGCGAACCGG
This 253-nucleotide ribosomal RNA is filed under the name uncultured bacterium. RNAcentral's name for it is "partial 16S ribosomal RNA". It matches the Rfam family "Bacterial small subunit ribosomal RNA", at positions 524 to 776 of the family's 1533-position model. The record is from RNAcentral.